Molecule: ribosomal RNA, 478 nt
Filed under: uncultured organism
Description: partial 16S ribosomal RNA
Rfam family: Bacterial small subunit ribosomal RNA
Source: RNAcentral
GUACACUCCUGCGGGAGGCAGCAGUGGGGAAUAUUGCACAAUGGGCGCAAGCCUGAUGCAGCCAUGCCGCGUGUAUGAAGAAGGCCUUCGGGUUGUAAAGUACUUUCAGCGGGGAGGAAGGCGAUAAGGUUAAUAACCUUGUCGAUUGACGUUACCCGCAGAAGAAGCACCGGCUAACUCCGUGCCAGCAGCCGCGGUAAUACGGAGGGUGCAAGCGUUAAUCGGAAUUACUGGGCGUAAAGCGCACGCAGGCGGUCUGUCAAGUCGGAUGUGAAAUCCCCGGGCUCAACCUGGGAACUGCAUUCGAAACUGGCAGGCUAGAGUCUUGUAGAGGGGGGUAGAAUUCCAGGUGUAGCGGUGAAAUGCGUAGAGAUCUGGAGGAAUACCGGUGGCGAAGGCGGCCCCCUGGACAAAGACUGACGCUCAGGUGCGAAAGCGUGGGGAGCAAACAGGAUUAGAAACCCGGGUAGUCCCAUGA